RNAcentral lists this ribosomal RNA (253 nucleotides) under uncultured bacterium. Its description in RNAcentral is "partial 16S ribosomal RNA". It matches the Rfam family "Bacterial small subunit ribosomal RNA", at positions 524 to 776 of the family's 1533-position model. The record is from RNAcentral.
UACGUAGGGGGCAAGCGUUGUCCGGAAUCAUUGGGCGUAAAGCGCGCGUAGGCGGCCCGAUCAGUCCGCUGUAAAAGUCCAGGGCUCAACCCUGGAAAGCCGGUGGAUACUGUCGGGCUAGAGUCCGGAAGAGGCGAGUGGAAUUCCUGGUGUAGCGGUGGAAUGCGCAGAUAUCAGGAAGAACACCCGUGGCGAAGGCGGUUCUCUGGAACGCAACUGACGCUGAGACGCGAAAGCGUGGGGAGCGAACAGG